AAAAAUGGAUGCAGAAAUCACAGCUUCACCUCUAAAUGAUACAGAUAAUGCAAUUAUUUACACCUAUAAUCACUCGUUAGGGCCUCACGUUCCAAGAAUAACGCCUCAAUCCCAGCAAGUUGGAGUCCGCUAUACAAAUCCACACUGUCCAUGUCACUCAAUUUAAGCUCGUCUCAAUCCAAUGUUUUUAUAAAUUAACAGAAUUGCUCCUAUGCAAAAGCUAUUAUUAUCACGCCAAUCCCUUCCGUCUCCUGAACCUGUCAACACAACCUGUACUCGUUCGAGACUUCUCAGGUUUGUUCGACUUCUUUGUCUUAUCAAGUCGACUAUCCAAACUAUUUCUUGGAAUUUCUGGAAGGUCAGAAUGAAGAUUGAAUGUGUUUGAGGAGACAUUUUCAGCUGGUUUCUUAGUGUCAGAGAUUAAUGCCGGUUUAUGAGAACCAUUUGAAGCAUGCUUUGAUUUGCCAAGACCAAGAACAAACUUUUUAAGAUGCUUGAUGUAAACCGGGUAAAGUUCAAGAUUGCAAUGCCCGCCUCCAUUUAUCCACAGUGGUUCAUACUUCUUCUUGCAUAGUUCAUAGAGUCGUUUUCCGUGGGAGCAAUCAACAACUUCAUAUGGAUGACUA
RNAcentral lists this unclassified non-coding RNA (626 nucleotides) under Hevea brasiliensis (rubber tree). The record is from RNAcentral. Lineage: Eukaryota; Viridiplantae; Streptophyta; Magnoliopsida; Malpighiales; Euphorbiaceae.